AUUGAACGCUGGCGGCAUGCCUAACACAUGCCAGUCGAGCGAAUGAAGGGAGCUUGCUCCCGGAUUAAGCGGCGGACGGGUGAGUAAUGCCCAGGAAUCUGCCUUGUCUUGGGGGAUGACGUCCGGAAACGGGCGCUAAUAUCGCAUCCGUCCUGAUGUCGAAAGUGGGGGAUCUUCGGACCUCACGCUUUCUGAUGAGCCUAGGACGUAUUAGCUAGUUGGUGGGGUAAAUGCCUACCGAGGCGACGAUCCUGAACUGGUCUGAGAGGAUGAUCAGACACACUGGAACUGAGACACGGUCCAGACUCCUACGGGAGGCAGCAGUGGGGAAUAUUGCACAAUGGGCGAAAGCCUGAUCCAGCAAUGCCGCGUGUGUGAUGAAGGUCUUCGGAUUGUAAAGCACUUUAAGUUGGGAGGAAGGACAGUAAGUUUAUACCUGGCUGUUUUGACGGUACCAACAGAAUAAGCACCGGCUAACUUCGUG
This 484-nucleotide ribosomal RNA is filed under the name uncultured bacterium. RNAcentral's name for it is "partial 16S ribosomal RNA". It matches the Rfam family "Bacterial small subunit ribosomal RNA", at positions 30 to 507 of the family's 1533-position model. The record is from RNAcentral.